CCUACGGGAGGCAGCAGUGGGGGAUAUUGCACAAUGGGGGGAACCCUGAUGCAGCGACGCCGCGUGGGUGAAGGAGCGUUUCGGCGCGUAAAGCCCUAUCGGCAGGGAAGAAGGAGGACGGUACCUGACUAAGAAGCCCCGGCUAACUACGUGCCAGCAGCCGCGGUAAUACGCAGGGGGCAAGCGUUAUCCGGAUGUACUGGGUGUACAGGGGGCGCAGACGGCAGCGCAAGCCAGGAGUGAGAGCCCGGGGCCCAACCCCGGGACUGCUCUUGGAACUGCGCGGCUGGAGUGCAGGAGGGGCAGGCGGAAUGCAUGGGGUGGCGGGGAAAUGCGUAGAUAUCAGGAGGAAAACCGGUGGCGAAGGCGGCCUGCUGGACUGCGACUGACGUUGAGGCCCGAAAGCGUGGGGAGCAAAGAGGAUUAGAUACCCCCGUAGG
This 440-nucleotide ribosomal RNA is filed under the name uncultured bacterium. RNAcentral's name for it is "partial 16S ribosomal RNA". It matches the Rfam family "Bacterial small subunit ribosomal RNA", at positions 338 to 794 of the family's 1533-position model. The record is from RNAcentral.